AAUUGGCGUACAGCAAUCAACAUUGAGCCAUUAUUUAAAUCACUAUAAAGCAAAUUACCAUGUCAACAACAACAAAAAUAUAGACAAUCACAUAAGCAAAAAAGUAAACCAAAAAUACAAAAAUUACCAUAUCAAACAAAGGCGGUAUGCAAAUUUACCAGUCCACGCCUAAACGAUAUUACCCAAAAUGAUGUAGAAAGGUUGAAUGUAUAAAAGAAAAAGAAAAUAUCAUAUAUGCAAUCUAUCUGUCUUGUGAUUAUGGUAAAAAGUUAAACCAGC
RNAcentral lists this long non-coding RNA (279 nucleotides) under Mytilus galloprovincialis (Mediterranean mussel). Lineage: Eukaryota; Metazoa; Mollusca; Bivalvia; Mytilida; Mytilidae. The record is from RNAcentral.